RNAcentral lists this transfer RNA (82 nucleotides) under Dreissena polymorpha. RNAcentral's name for it is "transfer RNA serine (anticodon UGA)". It matches the Rfam family "tRNA". From Rfam's summary of the family: Transfer RNA (tRNA) molecules are approximately 80 nucleotides in length. Their secondary structure includes four short double-helical elements and three loops (D, anti-codon, and T loops). Further hydrogen bonds mediate the characteristic L-shaped molecular structure. tRNAs have two regions of fundamental functional importance: the anti-codon, which is responsible for specific mRNA codon recognition, and the 3' end, to which the tRNAs corresponding amino acid is attached (by aminoacyl-tRNA synthetases). tRNAs cope with the degeneracy of the genetic code in two manners: having more than one tRNA (with a specific anti-codon) for a particular amino acid; and 'wobble' base-pairing, i.e. permitting non-standard base-pairing at the 3rd anti-codon position. The record is from Rfam by way of RNAcentral. Lineage: Eukaryota; Metazoa; Mollusca; Bivalvia; Myida; Dreissenidae.
GUUGCCGUGGCCGAGUGGUUAAGGCGAUAGACUUGAAAUCUUUUGGGAUUUUCCCGCGCAGGUUCGAAUCCUGCCGACAACG